GCCUUUGUGGUUUAGUGGUCAGCACACUCGGCACAUAUUAAAAAAAUCCAGGGUUCGAGUCCCGGCAAGGGCA
This 73-nucleotide transfer RNA is filed under the name Stegodyphus mimosarum. It matches the Rfam family "tRNA". From Rfam's summary of the family: Transfer RNA (tRNA) molecules are approximately 80 nucleotides in length. Their secondary structure includes four short double-helical elements and three loops (D, anti-codon, and T loops). Lineage: Eukaryota; Metazoa; Arthropoda; Arachnida; Araneae; Eresidae. The record is from Rfam by way of RNAcentral.